CUUCAAUGUUUAUUAGAAUUCGCAAGGUUUUGGAAGGAAUAUAACUGAAUAUUUAAUAAUAACCUUGUAUCUUGAAAGGAUAGAACUUGUGUAAAGUUCAAUGCUGAGAAAAUUUAAUGACCAUUAUUCUUUAAAAUUAACUCAAACCGUGGAAAUCGUGAUUACAUGAAGACAUAACAUUGAAUUGUCAAAUACUGUAACUGUAUGUUUGGAUCUCUUCAACUAAUAGGAAAUAUAACCCCUAUAGUGAGUAUAGUUAUGAAAUUUUCUGUUAAUUUGUAUUGAACAUAGGGAGUCUAAGAGUGCAGGGCCCCCACGCGCGCAUUUUACUGCAUCAUUUUUGGAACGUCAUCUGAGAGACAUCGUAGAUUUCUUUCAGCUUCUUUCCUAGAAUAAUCUUACUAUAAGUUAAACAGAACUGAGCUCCACUCAAAAAUAACGUUUUUGCGGAAUGAAUGUCCUUCAUUUCGCAAACCAUUUAUGACUGAUCAUUUUACACAGUACUAAUAAAAUUGUUUUGAUUUUUUUAGAUAAAGCAUAUGAGGACAGUGGGGAGCGCUAAUAUUGGCCAAUGUGUCAAUAAUAUCUUGAGAAGAUUAAUGAUUGAUGAGCUGGCCAUGAAAUAAUUCUCAUAUACUGGCCGUGCAUCAAACGGGAACACAAAAACUCCAUUUCAUGGGAGUGAGAUAUCGAAAUGCAUACUGAUUGCUGUUCAAACGUUUUUUGGUGACAUUGCAAUUGAAGUGAAAUAUGAAUCGUUGGCGUCGAAAUGGUUUCAACAAGCCAGAACAAGGUUGUUGAGAAGGACCAAGAGCAGAGAGACUACGCCUCAUGAAGCUCAAAUCGAGGACGAUAGCAGUUCAAAGUAAAAAUAUAUAAUAAGUUAAAAAUUAAAAGUUCAAUUUUUGUAAUAUUUAAUAAAAAUCAUUGCAUU
This 934-nucleotide long non-coding RNA is filed under the name Nilaparvata lugens (brown planthopper). Its description in RNAcentral is "uncharacterized LOC120354820, transcript variant X1". The record is from RNAcentral. Lineage: Eukaryota; Metazoa; Arthropoda; Insecta; Hemiptera; Delphacidae.